GGAAAAUGAGUAGAUCAUGGCACGGCCGCAGGAUAAAUACAUUGCGUACCACAUCGUCGACACGCCACUGACUGACGCAACCUGCGUGUAAACGAGAAGACGACGACGGCCCAGGCAUGGAGAAAAGGGCCGGCAAUCUUCUGGAGCCACACAACCGGCCGCAUCCCACUCCAGCAAGCUAGCUAGCUAGGUCAAGAUACACACAUCAUCAUGCAUGGCUCCGAAUUAUUUCCCAGCAUGAUACAUGCAUGCAUGUAUAUCCUCGUCAGUCUGUUUCAUAUCCACCAGCUGACUUUUCAGCUAAAAUUUUAGUAAUGUCAUGAUGGCAAUUAUGUGAUAAAUGCAUAAUAAUUUAGUAAACGUUAGAGAUAGUACUACUAAACUUUUACUGAUAGAUACUAGCUCGAAAUAUUAGCUGGGAGCUGCUAAAUUCUGUUGACACGAGGCAAAAAUAUUUGACUUUGUAUAAAAAUAGUGAAGAGACAUAUAUUUUGGACCGAAGAUUGUACAUGUAAAUUGGACAAGCUUUGCAUAAAAAGUACAAAACUACUUUUUUGACACACAUGAGUCCUCUAUAUGAAAGCUGAACAGGGGUCGAGAGGACAAGCUAGGUUGUAGUAGUGGGCAUCUUCUAACAAACCGGCCGUAGCUUACCAAAUCGCCAUAAAGGAAGGCUUGGAGCUAUGUGCACAUAUGUGUGGCCCAUGAAUCUUCCAAAGGACCAUGCAUGAAUGCUAGGUGACAAAUGUACUUGGAUCGCCAUGACAUCAGAGAGAUGCGUGGUAGUUACACAUGCCAACAAAAAGUUACAACUAAUUAGACAGACGUGCACUCACAUGCAUAUCCUUGUGCUAAAAACUAAAAAUUAAAUUACGAGUGCUAACAAUUUUCCUAAAAAUACAUCCAAGUAUCUUUUUAUGCUGUCAAUUUUCAUGGGAAAUACUGUUACCAUGGCCCCUUUUGCAACAUACUAUUUACAGCUUUACAUGUUUUCUUCUCACUCGUUUUUUCGUGAAAAAAGACCCUUGUCACCGUUUUCCCUUUGAAAAAUUAGGUGUAAAAGGAUUUCAAACAUUUGCAUGUUCAUUUGUUUUCUGCAAACUUUUAACUCGGGAGUAAACGUUUGCAUCUGCAAGUGCGAUUUAACAGCAUCCAUAUGCCAAAGAAAAUGGGGCGGGAAAAUAUAUUUUGUGAUGUGUGAUAUGGUGUGGCGUGUCUCAUAUAUAUAGUACUAGGCCCAAAAGAGGAGGAAAGUGUGGGCAAUCAUGCGUGCAAAGGGGGAUCAUGAAAAGAUGGAUGGACGGCAGUUUCAUCCUUCAAGCAAGGGCCAAUCAUUCAAGCUGUACUACCAGCUCUUCUGUAGACAUAUCUUGCAAGCAAGAAUUGAUAACCCAUUGUCUUGAUGGACAUGACAACUCAAUUCAUAAUUCUUUUCUUUUCCACACUCACUUUUCGAUCUGUCCCUGAAGGAAUUAAUAAGGUUGAUCAUAUCACCUCUUGUUUAAAUGAUGCAGAGGCCGGGGAUCAUCCUCCUUUUCUAAAAAAAAGACCUUUUGUUUAAAUUAUCACUACUUGGUAUUUGUUAAUUCAGCGCCAUUAUCAACAAGACCAAAAUGAACGAACAUAAUCACUGCUGAUGAAAAUAAUUUGUAAUUCAGCAGCAUGAUUCCAAUAUCAUUAUGCAAGAUAUUAGAGACAGUGGUAUUAACAUACCCAUACAUCGCAUUUACAAGUGGAUAAUACCACGACAAAUCCAUAAAGGAAAUAAUGGAGGUGCAACAAGGGUCAAUCAAUGCGUGAGAUCAAGAAUAAUAAUGUUGCUCAGAUACAGUCAUACAGAUCAUGCAACAAUUUAUUUCGUUCUUCUGCGUCCAACUCUUCAGUUGCUGGAAAAAAGAUAUUACUUUGUGCCCCUAACAAUCAUCAAGACAUACAAGAUUAAGCUAGGCACGCCAAAUAUAUGGAACUAGACCCUCUUUCUGAUUAAGAAGAUCAAGAAAGCCAUAAUUAUGGCAGUUAGUUUUCAUCAAAUUCCUGCAAAUGUUCUGGCAAGAAAUUGACCUAGCUACCUACAACGGUUUAGUAGGAAAAGACCGAUGGAUCUAAGUCUGAAAAAUAAGCACAUACAUACAUUAACCUGAGUACUGCCAAAGCAGCCUAAACAGUAAGUAUAAAAUAACAUAACUAAUGUCAAAGGCUGCCUAAGCAGUCUAUAGCAUCUCACAUAUGCAAAAAAGGGGACAUAAAUACCUAAAUUCCGAUCUAAAUAAAACAACUAAAUCACAAGCCACAAGAUCGGUUCAGAUAUUACUACCGGGACAGGUCAAUUUACACGUCACCUCAUGAAAGAAAACUUUCGUUCUUGGCCGGUAAAUCUUGGAGAGGAAACGUAAAGGAAUAAUCGACAGGAUCUGAAGAAAACUAGACUAGUAACACCCAAGAAACCCAGAUCCGCUCUACUGUGAUGAAGGAUCGAAAGAAAAGAACCAAGACAGAAUCAACCUACACAGGAAUUAAUGACUAGCCAGGCAGGCACGGCCGAGCAUCGAUCGGGGCAGUGAGGCGAGUUGGAUGGAUCUCGCCUUGAGGAUAACCUGCAGGAAGGGUAGAUGGUCCACCCGUCCAUGGAUAGAUUUCAUGGGAUUUUAGGGUUUUCGUUGUGCUCCGACCAGCAGAUGAAACUCCAGCAUGACCUGAUUGACAUGGAUUCUGAUCCAUGAGUUAGGUCAUCAGAUCAUGCUGGCAGCUUCACCAGCUUGUGGUGCACCUUGAUCUACCCAUCAAAGAGAAAGGGGAAUAACUCCGGCACUUUGGCGAGAGAGAGAUGAGGGAGGGAGAGAGAGAGAGAGGUGGGAAU
This 2857-nucleotide ribosomal RNA is filed under the name Triticum aestivum (bread wheat). RNAcentral's name for it is "partial small subunit ribosomal RNA". The record is from RNAcentral. Lineage: Eukaryota; Viridiplantae; Streptophyta; Magnoliopsida; Poales; Poaceae.